CCUACGGGGGGCUGCAGUGGGGAAUAUUGGACAAUGGGGGCAACCCUGAUCCAGCCAUGCCGCGUGUGUGAAGAAGGCCCUCGGGUUGUAAAGCACUUUCAGUGAGGAAGAACGCCUGGUGGUUAAUACCCAUCAGGAAAGACAUCACUCACAGAAGAAGCACCGGCUAACUCCGUGCCAGCAGCCGCGGUAAUACGGAGGGUGCGAGCGUUAAUCGGAAUUACUGGGCGUAAAGCGCGCGUAGGUGGCUUGAUAAGCCGGUUGUGAAAGCCCCGGGCUCAACCUGGGAACGGCAUCCGGAACUGUCAAGCUAGAGUGCAGGAGAGGAAGGUAGAAUUCCCGGUGUAGCGGUGAAAGGCGUAGAGAUCGGGAGGAAUACCAGUGGCGAAGGCGGCCUUCUGGACUGACACUGACACUGAGGUGCGAAAGCGUGGGUAGCAAACAGGAUUAGAUACCCCUGUAGUC
Molecule: ribosomal RNA, 465 nt
Filed under: Vreelandella stevensii
Lineage: Bacteria; Pseudomonadati; Pseudomonadota; Gammaproteobacteria; Oceanospirillales; Halomonadaceae
Description: partial 16S ribosomal RNA
Rfam family: Bacterial small subunit ribosomal RNA
Source: RNAcentral